UAGGGAAUCUUCGGCAAUGGGGGCAACCCUGACCGAGCAACGCCGCGUGAGUGAAGAAGGUUUUCGGAUCGUAAAGCUCUGUUGUAAGAGAAGAACGUGUGUGAGAGUGGAAAGUUCACACAGUGACGGUAACUUACCAGAAAGGGACGGCUAACUACGUGCCAGCAGCCGCGGUAAUACGUAGGUCCCGAGCGUUGUCCGGAAUUAUUGGGCGUAAAGCGAGCGCAGGCGGUUUAAUAAGUCUGAAGUUAAAGGCAGUGGCUUAACAAUUGUUCGCUUUGGAAACUGUUAAACUUGAGUGCAGAAGGUGAGAGUGGAAUUCCAUGUGUAGCGGUGAAAUGCGUACAUAUAUGGAGGAACACCGGUGGCGAGAGCGGCUCUCUGGUCUGUAACUGACGCUGAGGCUCGAAAGAGUGGGUAGCAAGCAGG
RNAcentral lists this ribosomal RNA (429 nucleotides) under bacterium. RNAcentral's name for it is "partial 16S ribosomal RNA". It matches the Rfam family "Bacterial small subunit ribosomal RNA", at positions 355 to 776 of the family's 1533-position model. The record is from RNAcentral.